UAGGGAAUAUUGCGCAAUGGACGAAAGUCUGACGCAGCAACGCCGCGUGGGCGAUGAAGUUUUUCGGAAUGUAAAACCCUGUCGGUGGGGAAGAAACGCACGAGUAGUAACUGGCUCGUGCCUGACGGUACCCACAAAGGAAGUCCCGGCUAACUCCGUGCCAGCAGCCGCGGUAAUACGGGGGGGACGAGCGUUGUUCGGGUUUACUGGGCGUAAAGGGCGCGUAGGCGGACCUUCAAGUCGGAUGUGAAACCCCCGGGCUUAACUCGAGGCCUGCAUUUGAUACUGUUGGUCUUGGGUACAGGAGAGGAGAGUGGAAUUCCAGGUGUAGCGGUGAAAUGCGUAGAUAUCUGGAAGGACACCAGUAGCGAAGGCGGCUCUCUGGACUGAUACUGACGCUCAAGCGCGAAGGCUUGGGGAGCAAACAGG
RNAcentral lists this ribosomal RNA (429 nucleotides) under Acidobacteriota bacterium. RNAcentral describes it as "Acidobacteria bacterium partial 16S ribosomal RNA". It matches the Rfam family "Bacterial small subunit ribosomal RNA", at positions 355 to 776 of the family's 1533-position model. The record is from RNAcentral. Lineage: Bacteria; Pseudomonadati; Acidobacteriota.